AACGAACGCUGGCGGCAUGCCUAACACAUGCAAGUCGAACGAGAUCUUCGGGUCUAGUGGCGCACGGGUGCGUAACGCGUGGGAAUCUGCCCUUUGGUUCGGAAUAACAGUUGGGAACGACUGCUAAUACCGGAUGAUGACGAAAGUCCAAAGAUUUAUCGCCAGAGGAUGAGCCCGCGUAGGAUUAGCUAGUUGGUGUGGUAAAGGCGCACCAAGGCGACGAUCCUUAGCUGGUCUGAGAGGAUGAUCAGCCACACCGGGACUGAGACACGGCCCAGACUCCUACGGGAGGCAGCAGUGGGGAAUAUUGGACAAUGGGCGAAAGCCUGAUCCAGCAAUGCCGCGUGAGUGAUGAAGGCCUUAGGGUUGUAAAGCUCUUUUACCCGGGAUGAUAAUGACAGUACCGGGAGAAUAAGCUCCGGCUAACUCCGUGCCAGCCGCCGCGGUAA
Molecule: ribosomal RNA, 449 nt
Filed under: uncultured bacterium
Lineage: Bacteria
Description: partial 16S ribosomal RNA
Rfam family: Bacterial small subunit ribosomal RNA
Source: RNAcentral